Molecule: long non-coding RNA, 1072 nt
Organism: Oncorhynchus tshawytscha (Chinook salmon)
Lineage: Eukaryota; Metazoa; Chordata; Actinopteri; Salmoniformes; Salmonidae
Source: Ensembl
UCGCGUUGUGCUUGUUUCGUCCAGCAGAGGGGGAUGCUCGUUGUAGCAGCUUCACUCACUCUUCUUCGAACUACUUGUUCGCGUUAGUUUUAGAGAAAACUGCUAUGGAAAACUCGGCCAGAAGCUAGCAAGUGUCAAGUGAAUCCACAACAUCCCCACAAACAAACAAAGUUACACUCGUUUGAGAUACUAGCCAAUGAUAGUGGAGAGGAGGAAGACUGGAUAGGAAGAAGAGUGAGAGAGGAGGAAAGCGGGGGAAGAACGGCAGUUGUAGAACAUCAACAGACGAAAAAGCCUCUCUGAUUGGCCGUGUUGGUAUGCCCUCUGCCACCACAUUCUUCAAGAAGUUUUGCUCAUGUUCUCUUCUGCUCUUAAGUCUACCCAGACUACCAGGACCACUGAAUGGCUGUUCAGAUCGGUUCUACCCAGACUACCAGGACCACUGAAUGGCUGUUCAGAUCGGACAGUUCUGUCUCGUCCGUAGUGUUUCUGUAAUAUAGUUGUUUUCUCUCAGUGGGCCCGUUAGACUAAAUACAUGAAACUGGAAUUGUCACCCUUUUCUAUUUCAUAGAUAAUAACAUUGGAUAUUUUAAUUAUAUAUUGACUGCCGAACUGGAACUGGUUUUAAUUUCAGAAAUGUGGUCACCUUAACUUACUACAUAUAACGCCAGCCUCAUUAUGGAGAGGAGUAUACAUACAUUCAUAAUGCCCAGGGCCUGGUUCCAUAAAACAACUUAAGUACAUUUUCCCCUUAUCGUUUUCCUUCAAGUUUCCUUAACUUAAAGUCAGUUACACUAAAUAUUUUAAGGUGAAAAUGUUAAGGGUGUCCAUGCGGUCCCUUAUGUGCUUCAUUCAGUAUGGAUAUCAAUGUAAACAGCAUUUGUGGAGAUGAAUGUUGCUUUCCUCUGUCCAUUUUGCAGAAGGAAAACAUCAACCAGCUAGCUCUGUUACUUCAGCUAAACAAUAGAAGGUGCACAAUCAAUAUAUACAUAAUUGUGCACAAUACAUGGCUACAAAGCUAGCUAGCUACCUUCUCUUUAAGUUAGCUUGACAUGCUAUAAUAAAAAACAAG